RNAcentral lists this unclassified non-coding RNA (387 nucleotides) under Hevea brasiliensis (rubber tree). Lineage: Eukaryota; Viridiplantae; Streptophyta; Magnoliopsida; Malpighiales; Euphorbiaceae. The record is from RNAcentral.
AAGCUUAAUUAUACUCACAUGAAAACUUGGCUUUUCAGUAGCUGUUACAAAAUAUUACAGUAAUCCAGAUAAAUCUGUGCUCCAUCAUUCUGAUGGAGGACAGGAAACAUCCAAAAAUGAGGACAAACGCUACACACAUAGCACAAACAAGAAACUGUACACAGCUCGAAUAAACACAUGCCUCUAGCAUAUGCCUGAAAUCCUGAAACUGUUUCACAUCCAAGGACUCCAUUGUAUUAACAUUAAAAAAAAUAAUAAAAAUAAAUACAAUACUAACUCAUGCCUAUGCAUGAAGCGGGGAUGCAGAAGGCCGUGGAUAUGCAAUGCGUCCACCAUUGUUCUCCUUGUGAGUAAUUGGAUUGUUCUCUUUUUUAUUUGAUUCUUGAA